GAUGAACGCUGGCGGCGUGCCUAAUACAUGCAAGUCGAGCGAACGGACGAGAAGCUUGCUUCUCUGAUGUUAGCGGCGGACGGGUGAGUAACACGUGGAUAACCUACCUAUAAGACUGGGAUAACUUCGGGAAACCGGAGCUAAUACCGGAUGAUAUUUUGAACCGCAUGGUUCAAAAGUGAAAGACGGUCUUGCUGUCACUUAUAGAUGGAUCCGCGCUGCAUUAGCUAGUUGGUAAGGUAACGGCUUACCAAGGCAACGAUGCAUAGCCGACCUGAGAGGGUGAUCGGCCACACUGUAACUGAGACACGGUCCAGACUCCUACGGGAGGCAGCAGUAGGGAAUCUUCCGCGAUGGGCGAAAGCCUGACGGAGCAACGCCGCGUGAGUGAUGAAGGUCUUCGGAUCGUAAAACUCUGUUAUUAGGGAAGAACAUAUGUGUAAGUAACUGUGCACAUCUUGACGGUACCUAAUCAGAAAGCCACGGCUAACUACGUG
This 497-nucleotide ribosomal RNA is filed under the name uncultured bacterium. RNAcentral describes it as "partial 16S ribosomal RNA". It matches the Rfam family "Bacterial small subunit ribosomal RNA", at positions 28 to 507 of the family's 1533-position model. The record is from RNAcentral.